This 364-nucleotide ribosomal RNA is filed under the name uncultured bacterium. RNAcentral describes it as "bacterial SSU rRNA". It matches the Rfam family "Bacterial small subunit ribosomal RNA", at positions 29 to 412 of the family's 1533-position model. The record is from RNAcentral.
AACGAACGCUGGCGGCAGGCCUAACACAUGCAAGUCGAGCGAUACCAGCAAUGGUGGAGCGGCAGACGGGUGAGUAACACGUGGGAACGUACCCUUCGGUUCGGAAUAACUCAGGGAAACUUGAGCUAAUACCGGAUACGUCCGAGAGGAGAAAGAUUUAUCGCCGAAGGAUCGGCCCGCGUCUGAUUAGCUAGUUGGUGAGGUAAUGGCUCACCAAGGCGACGAUCAGUAGCUGGUCUGAGAGGAUGAUCAGCCACAUUGGGACGUGAGACACGGCCCAAACUACCUACGGGAGGCAGCAGUGGGGGAAUAUUGGACGAAAUGGGCGGCAAGCCUGAUCCAGCCAUGCCGCGUGAGUGAUGAA